RNAcentral lists this unclassified non-coding RNA (246 nucleotides) under fungal sp. Its description in RNAcentral is "partial internal transcribed spacer region". The stretch from base 1 to 46 matches the Rfam family "Eukaryotic small subunit ribosomal RNA", at positions 1786 to 1831 of the family's 1831-position model. Lineage: Eukaryota; Fungi. The record is from RNAcentral.
AAGUCGUAACAAGGUUUCCGUAGGUGAACCUAUAGAAGGAUCAUUACUACUUACUUAUGGCUAUUAAGGGGGGAAACCCCCUCAGCAGUACGGCAACACCUACCCUUGACUAUAUAUACCUUUCGUUAUUUCCCUCAGCAGGGCAACCCGCUGCUGGGGACAUUAAAACCCUCUUGUAUUAAGCAUUAAAACUUCUAAAACAAACCUAAAAUAUAACAACUUUUAACAAUAGAUCUCUUGGUUCUA